Molecule: long non-coding RNA, 478 nt
Filed under: Papio anubis (olive baboon)
Lineage: Eukaryota; Metazoa; Chordata; Mammalia; Primates; Cercopithecidae
Description: lncRNA (ENSPANG00000044396.1)
Source: RNAcentral
UUACAGGAAUAGAAAAUCAAAAUACAGGCUAUGGACAUCUGGCCAGUAGAUCGGGGGAGAUCUUUUGGGGACAUGCUGUUCCAUGCUCUGCCAACUAUACCACUAGAAGCAGCUCCUUUUCCUUGCCAGAGAAGAAUAACUUUUCAUGGAGACCAGGUAAUGGUUUCACGCGAAGAAGUUUCCUUGUGAGAUGGUAUUUUUUUCUCUAGAUCCACCCCACCAUCCUCAUUGCCUCCUGGUAAGUAACCAGAAUCAGAUCUCAGCACAGCUUGGAGAGAGAAGCAAUUAUUUUGUGCUCAUUAAUGAGGAGAGUCAAAAGCAGUUCACAAUCUCAAAAACAUCUGAAUUAUUUGCAUGCAAGAAGCCAGACAUACACACAAAAUGCAUACUGAAUGAUUCCAUUUAUAUGACUUUCAAGAACAGAUCACAAUCUCUAAUCAUCUUAUUUAUUUGUGCCCUUGUCUGUUUGCCCCCAUAG